Molecule: unclassified non-coding RNA, 260 nt
Filed under: plant metagenome
Description: partial contains small subunit ribosomal RNA, internal transcribed spacer 1, and 5.8S ribosomal RNA
Rfam family: 5.8S ribosomal RNA (bases 213-260)
Source: RNAcentral
UUUCCGUAGGUGAACCUGCGGAAGGAUCAUUAUUGAAUGAAACACUUCUGGCUUUAUGCUGUUGUGCUGGCCCUUUGGGCAAUGUGCACACGGCUCUGGUCACUUGUUUCUUCUGUUCCACCUGUGCACUGCCUGUAGACACGCUGUGUCUAUGAUAUUUGUUAACACACAACAAUGUUAGUUGGCAUGUUAUAUAUAAUAAUAAAAUAUACAACUUUCAACAACGGAUCUCUUGGCUCUCGCAUGAUGAAGAACGCAGC